Perca flavescens (yellow perch) is the source of this 701-nucleotide long non-coding RNA. RefSeq lists it as uncharacterized. NCBI's taxonomy places the organism in Eukaryota, Metazoa, Chordata, Actinopteri, Perciformes, Percidae. The record is from RefSeq and is a predicted model, not a curated record. The transcript has 4 exons.
UGCUAGCUAGCUGUUUUUCUAACUUCAGCCAGUGCAAGGCAGGAUUAGCUGGGAGACUUUUUCUAAACGAGAGGCCCACUUCCAACUUGGCGUGGAAUACCUGCAGAACAGGGACAUCCACUCCUCAUCAGUGUCGUCGCUGUACUCAUCAUCUCGUGAGUCGGAGGGGAAUUUCCUGGACUAUUCUAUUAGCCUACGAUUGAUGAACUGAGCAUAUACUGAGGACCCUUUCACUGGACAUAAAUGUCGGACUUCAACUCGCACGUUGGGAAAAGACGAACAACAUUUCACUGGUAAUAGACCACCACCAGAGAGAGGAGCUUCUUUCACAUUUCAAAGGAGGAAUACAAAGGCACAGAGUGAAGCAAGCAAAGUACUGUCGGCAAUGGCAUUCAAGAGUACGAAAUGGGUUGUUUCGAUAUUUGUUUUCUCAACCCGGACCCAGUUCAUGCGUGCGUUUAAAGUUCGUCCGGUAUUGAGCCAUGACGCUGUAUCCGGAAACCACACAAUCCAAGCUUUCUUCAAAAGUUGACAUUCUCAGCGUGUAACGUUGGUCAGAGGUUCCUAAGUGACUGAUGGGAAUAACAAUCUUUGACCAAUGUCAAAGAUUGUUAUUCUGCAGCGAUCUCUCUUAAUACUGGACCGGUCCAGUAUUAAGAGAGAUCGCUGCAGUCGGCAGCGGCGUAACCAGCUAAAAUGUA